RNAcentral lists this long non-coding RNA (232 nucleotides) under Homo sapiens (human). RNAcentral describes it as "HSALNT0241214". Lineage: Eukaryota; Metazoa; Chordata; Mammalia; Primates; Hominidae. The record is from RNAcentral.
GCUAUUUAACCAAGUUAGGGUAGGGUGCAAGCUAGGUGGAAGGACCAUACUACCUGAAUCUAGGGUGCACAGGUUCAUCUGUUUUGUAUCUUUUUCUAUUGCAUCUCCUUCCCUGAUGAGGAUGUUACAAGGGCCAGCGUUGACAUUUAAGCAGGGGUACCCACAGAUAGAUGUCCUGGUCCAAUGACACACUUGCUUUUUCAGACAGAGGAAGUCAAGUUUGCAGGGGCGU